This 486-nucleotide ribosomal RNA is filed under the name uncultured bacterium. RNAcentral's name for it is "partial 16S ribosomal RNA". It matches the Rfam family "Bacterial small subunit ribosomal RNA", at positions 30 to 507 of the family's 1533-position model. The record is from RNAcentral.
AUUGAACGCUGGCGGCAUGCCUUACACAUGCAAGUCGAACGGCAGCACGGGUGCUUGCACCCGGUGGCGAGUGGCGAACGGGUGAGUAAUACAUCGGAACAUGUCCUGUAGUGGGGGAUAGCCCGGCGAAAGCCGGAUUAAUACCGCAUACGAUCUACGGAUGAAAGCGGGGGCCCUUCGGGCCUCGCGCUAUAGGGUUGGCCGAUGGCUGAUUAGCUCGUUGGUGGGGUAAAGGCCUACCAAGGCGACGAUCAGUAGCUGGUCUGAGAGGACGACCAGCCACACUGGGACUGAGACACGGCCCAGACUCCUACGGGAGGCAGCAGUGGGGAAUUUUGGACAAUGGGCGAAAGCCUGAUCCAGCAAUGCCGCGUGUGUGAAGAAGGCCUUCGGGUUGUAAAGCACUUUUGUCCGGAAAGAAAUCCUUGGCCCUAAUACGGUCGGGGGAUGACGGUACCGGAAGAAUAAGCACCGGCUAACUACGUG